UACGUAGGUGUCAAGCGUUGUCCGGAUUUACUGGGCGUAAAGAGCCCGCAGGCGGCUCGGCAAGUCUCGGGUGAAAUCUCCCGGCUUAACUGGGAGUGGUCUCGAGAAACUGCCGGGCUUGAGGCAUGGAGAGGGAAGUGGAAUUCCAGGUGUAGCGGUGAAAUGCGUAGAUAUCUGGAGGAACACCGGUGGCGAAGGCGGGUCUCUGGGCCGAUACUGACGCUGAGGAGCGAAAGCGUGGGGAGCGAACAGG
This 253-nucleotide ribosomal RNA is filed under the name uncultured bacterium. RNAcentral describes it as "partial 16S ribosomal RNA". It matches the Rfam family "Bacterial small subunit ribosomal RNA", at positions 524 to 776 of the family's 1533-position model. The record is from RNAcentral.